Long non-coding RNA from Etheostoma cragini (Arkansas darter), 583 nucleotides. RefSeq lists it as uncharacterized. The record is from RefSeq and is a predicted model, not a curated record. The transcript is spliced from 4 exons. NCBI's taxonomy places the organism in Eukaryota, Metazoa, Chordata, Actinopteri, Perciformes, Percidae.
AGCAGGAAGAGAGCAGGCAGCAGCAACCGAACACCGGAACCAUCGAGCGGCUGCUGCUGCUACAAGCUAACCGGAGAAACGGCUCUGCUCCCGGAGCCACCGGAGGACCAGCGACCGGAGGACCAGCGACCGGAGGACCAGCGACCGGAGGACCACCGACACUGCUACCGACCGGAUGCUCGGUUCACAGUUAACGGAGUGACGUCACAAGGUGUGUCAGGAUGCUGCAGCUCCCCCUGGUGGUGACGGUUCAGGUGGACGUCGUCCUGCUUCUCGUCUCCUUCCUGUCUCUCUGGACCCGCCUGAACCGCCUCGGAUACCCCAACGCUGUGGUGUUUGAUGAGGUCUACUACGGCCAGUUUGUGUCCCUCUACAUGAAGAGAGUCUUCUUCCUGGACGACAGCGGGCCGCCGCUCGGUCACAUGAUCCUGGCCCUCGGAGCGUACCUCGGAGGAUUUGAUGGAAACUUUGUGUGGAACCGAAUCGGAGCAGGUAGGAACAUCAGAGUACCGUGUGUGUGUGUGUGUGUGUGUGUGUGUGUGUGUGUGUGUGUGUGUGUGUGUGUGUGUGUGUGUGUGUGUGU